GUAAACUUGCACUUCAAGGUUCAUUUUGGUUUUCUUCAAUACUCAACUAUGGGAAUUUUCCUGUGGGAUGAGGACUGGGGAAGACCUCGAACCAUGUCAGGUCCCAUAGCCUAUGGUCUCUGGAGAAUCAGCUUUGUGGAAGACUCCUUUGUAUUCUGUAACCACAAAAUUCUGUGCACCAUCAGUGGAGUAACAACAUAUUGCUAAGAAGUGAACUCCUUGCUUGAAGAGACUUCGUAACUUUUUUAGAAGAGAAUUGCCUCCAAUUUCAGUCAGAUUCAUUAAUUUACCUUGUGAUUUUCAAAUGACUCAUAUUUCUUUUAGUAAAACAGACUAAAGACCAUAACAUCAAAUGCCUGAGUAGGUAUAGUUUCCUGUUCCAAGUCCCUCUGGAAAUCCUGGAAACACAAGAACUGUUCAAAAUGUUGUCAUCUUUUCAUGGCAACAUCAUUAGCUGAAGUUUCUCCAUUUUAACAGUCCACUGCCUUCACACCUGAUUUAGAAAGCAGUGGGUGAAGAGCAGAUUCAUUCAUACACUGCCCAUGCAGCUCAGACUGCCAUGUCACUCACACACCAUGGUCAUUUCCCUUUAUUUCUUGCAUUUUAGGAGUUCUGAGCAUAGGUGAAGUACUGUUACAAUGCCAAAGAGUAAUUGUAUUUUAGGUGCUAUUUCAUGGCAGCAGAGAUAAUUCAAACCUCAGGUUGAUUCCAGGUUUCAAAUAUCAGAAAGCUGGAGAUGGUCAGUUCAAGGGUUCAAAACUUACCACAAGACUCACACUGGGCAAAUGUUAAGUCCAGGGAUUUGCCCAUAAUUAAUUUUUUUUAGUGCAAGAGAAAUUAACUCAUAUGGAAAACUACUGUAAAAGAAAAUUUGACAAAGAUGAUGCCACGGUAACUUUUGCUCUCCUGAGAUAUUACAACCUGUGCAAGACAAUUUAUGAAAUAGAUAAUGAGCGUUUGAAAAGCAGUGGUUAAUUACACUUUAGAUAACAACCUCAAUGAGCCAGCUGUCAGGAAAGUGAUGGAUUCAGCUUCUAUUCUAUGUUUACCUGUAGAAAACUCUGCUGAGACCCAAGUAGGAUACUCACAUCUCUCUCUAGACAGAAAGUUCAUGAUAACAGGGGAUUUGAAGAGACAGAAGAUUGAUUUUCAUGAAAAGAUGAACUAGUCAUAUUUCUUUUUACUUUUAUCACAUAGUUGAACGGUUUAACUUUUGAAGAAUGUAAAUAAAUUUAUGUUGAACGCU
This 1246-nucleotide long non-coding RNA is filed under the name Manacus vitellinus (golden-collared manakin). RNAcentral's name for it is "lncRNA (ENSMVIG00005003977.1)". The record is from RNAcentral. Lineage: Eukaryota; Metazoa; Chordata; Aves; Passeriformes; Pipridae.